RNAcentral lists this ribosomal RNA (1962 nucleotides) under human gut metagenome. RNAcentral describes it as "bacterial LSU rRNA". It matches the Rfam family "Bacterial large subunit ribosomal RNA", at positions 1 to 1973 of the family's 2925-position model. The record is from RNAcentral.
GAAAGUAAAGAAGGGCGCAUGGCGGAUGCCUUGGCUCUCGGAGGCGAUGAAGGACGUGAUAAGCUGCGAUAAGCUUUGGGGAGGUGCAAAUGACCUUUGAUCCAGAGAUUUCCGAAUGGGACAACCCAAUAUCUUGAAGAGGUAUUAUCCAACGUUGUUGGAGGCUAACGCAGGGAACUGAAACAUCUUAGUACCUGCAGGAAAAGAAAAUAAACAAUGAUUCCCCCAGUAGUGGCGAGCGAACGGGGAACAGCCCAAACCAUCCAUGUUACGGCAUGGGUGGGGUUGUAGGACUACGCCGUUGCAUGAAGACAUCAGAGAAGAACUUUCUGGAAAGAAAGACCAUAGAGCAUGACAGUUGCGUAUUCGAAUGUUGUCGAAGCAUAGUAGUAUCCUGAGUAGCGCGGAGCACGAGGAAUUCUGCGUGAAUCUGCCGGGACCAUCCGGUAAGGCUAAAUACUCCCGAGAGACCGAUAGCGAACCAGUACCGUGAGGGAAAGGUGAAAAGCACUUCGAACAGAAGAGUGAAAUAGUUCCUGAAACCGUGCGCCUACAAGCGGUCGGAGCUCGUUAAUGAGUGACGGCGUGCCUUUUGCAUAAUGAACCUACGAGUUGCCUUUGCCGGCAAGGUUAAGUGUGACGACACACGUAUCCGAAGCGAAAGCGAGUCUGAACAGGGCGUAUAGUCGGCAGUGGCAGACGCGAAACCAAGUGAUCUACCCUUGGCCAGGUUGAAGGCUGGGUAACACCAGCUGGAGGACCGCACCAAUAAGCGUUGAAAAGCUUCUGGAUGAGCUGAGGGUAGGGGUGAAAGGCUAAUCAAACUUGGAGAUAGCUCGUACUCCCCGAAAUGCAUUUAGGUGCAGCCUUGCGGGUUACUGAUGUGAGGUAGAGCGACUGAUAAGAUGCGAGGGCUUCACCGCCUAUCAAGUCUUGACAAACUCCGAAUGCGCAUCAGUUCUACCGCAGGAGUGAGGGCAUGGGUGCUAAGGUCCGUGCCCGAGAGGAGAAGAAUCCGGACCACCUGCUAAGGUCCCGAAAUGACAGCUAAGUUAAACUAACGAAGUCUGACUGCUAAGACAGCUAGGAUGUUGGCUUGGAAGCAGCCAUUCAUUUAAAGAGUGCGUAACAGCUCACUAGUCGAGGAGUCGGGCGUGGAUAAUAAUCGGGUAUUAAGUUGUCUACCGAAGCAGUGGGAUCAUUAAUAUGAUCGGUAGGGGAGCAUUCCAGUCAGCGUCGAAGGCGUACCGUGAGGUAUUCUGGAGCGUCUGGAAAAGCAAAUGUAGGUAUAAGUAACGAUAAAGGGGGCGGGAAACCCCCUCGCCGAAAGACUAAGGUUUCCUGAUCAACGCUAAUCGGAUCAGGGUCAGUCGGGUCCUAAGGCUCAGCCGAACGGCGAUGCCGAUGGCAGAAACGGUUAAUAUUCCGUUACUACCUUCAGGAGUGACGUGGAGACGCAGUAGUGACAGUGCCGCCAUCUGACGGAAUAGAUGGUUGAAGGGUGUAGGAGUCGAUCAUGGCAGGCAAAUCCACCAUGAGAUCCGAACCUGACAGUAUGCCGCGUCCUUCGGGACAAGGCAAUAGUGCGCGUAAGCAUGCUGCCGAGAAAAUCCGCUAAACUUAAUCCUGUAGGUACCCGUACCGCAAACGGACACACGUAGUCGGGAUGAAUAUUCUAAGGCGCUUGAGUGAUUCACGGUUAAGGAACUAGGCAAACUGACCCUGUAACUUCGGGAUAAAGGGUCCCUACCCUUUUAUGGGAGGGCGCAGAGAAUCGGUCCAGGCAACUGUUUAACAAAAACACAGGGCUGUGCCAAAUCGAAAGAUCCAGUAUACAGCCUGACACCUGCCCGGUGCUGGAAGGUUAAGAGGAGAUGUCAUCGAUAAGAGAAGCGUUGAAUUGAAGCCCCAGUAAACGGCGGCCGUAACUAUAACGGUCCUAAGGUAGCGAAAUUCCUUGUC